This 405-nucleotide ribosomal RNA is filed under the name uncultured bacterium. Its description in RNAcentral is "partial 16S ribosomal RNA". It matches the Rfam family "Bacterial small subunit ribosomal RNA", at positions 30 to 526 of the family's 1533-position model. The record is from RNAcentral.
AUUGAACGCUGGCGGCAUGCUUUACACAUGCAAGUCGGACGAGUGGCGAACGGGUGAGUAACGCAUCGGAACGUACCUAGUAUGGGGGAUAACUGUCCGAAAGGACAGCUAAUACCGCAUAUUAUUCGAGCGGCUGUUGUCUGAUUAGCUGGUUGGCGGGGUAAAGGCCCAUCAAGGCGACGAUCAGUAGCGGGUCUGAGAGGAUGAUCCGCAACACUGGGACGGGGACACUGCCCAGACUCCUACGGGAGGCAGCAGUGGGGAAUUUUGGACAAUGGGCGCAAGCAUGAUCCAGCCAUGCCGGGUGUCUGAAGAAGGCCUUCGGGUUGUAAAAAUCUUUUGUAUGGGACGCAGUACCAUACGAAUAAGGACCGGCUAAUUACGUGCCAGCAGCCGCGGUAAUUC